This 462-nucleotide ribosomal RNA is filed under the name bacterium enrichment culture clone ALO1_GLFRUDD03HC72Y. RNAcentral describes it as "bacterial SSU rRNA". It matches the Rfam family "Bacterial small subunit ribosomal RNA", at positions 9 to 470 of the family's 1533-position model. The record is from RNAcentral.
GAGUUUGAUCUUGGCUCAGAUUGAACGCUGGCGGCAUGCCUUACACAUGCAAGUCGAACGGCAGCACGGGAGCUUGCUCCUGGUGGCGAGUGGCGAACGGGUGAGUAAUGCAUCGGAACGUAUCCUGGAGUGGGGGAUAACGUAGCGAAAGUUACGCUAAUACCGCAUAUUCUGUGAGCAGGAAAGCGGGGGACCUUCGGGCCUCGCGCUCUUGGAGCGGCCGAUGUCGGAUUAGCUAGUUGGUGAGGUAAAGGCUCACCAAGGCGACGAUCCGUAGCAGGUCUGAGAGGAUGAUCUGCCACACUGGAACUGAGACACGGUCCAGACUCCUACGGGAGGCAGCAGUGGGAAUUUUGGACAAUGGGGGCAACCCUGAUCCAGCCAUGCCGCGUGAGUGAAGAAGGCCUCGGUUGUAAGACUCGUUCGUCGGAGGAAGUAAGUAGUACGACCGACGAACUACGU